Molecule: ribosomal RNA, 228 nt
Filed under: Triticum aestivum (bread wheat)
Lineage: Eukaryota; Viridiplantae; Streptophyta; Magnoliopsida; Poales; Poaceae
Description: partial small subunit ribosomal RNA
Source: RNAcentral
AUGAUUGUUGUGGCUACUAUGACACUACACAACUACGUCCACCUCCAUGACAAGGAGGAUCUCCACUUUAUUCGGUGUGAGAGGGAUCCAGAUUAUGUUCCAACAGAGAGAUACAAGAAGUAAGUUAUUCCUACAAAUGCAUCAGAUGCUUCAACAUCAGCGGAAAGUGCUCCUAACAUGGAUUUGUUUAGGCAUGAACUAGCUACUGCCAUUGGUCUUAGUUGGUGA